This 415-nucleotide ribosomal RNA is filed under the name Theileria uilenbergi. Its description in RNAcentral is "SSU rRNA". It matches the Rfam family "Eukaryotic small subunit ribosomal RNA", at positions 469 to 923 of the family's 1831-position model. Lineage: Eukaryota; Apicomplexa; Aconoidasida; Piroplasmida; Theileriidae. The record is from RNAcentral.
GACAAGAAAUAACAAUACGGGGCUUAACGUCUUGUAAUUGGAAUGAUGGGAAUCUAAACCUCUUCCAGAGUAUCAAUUGGAGGGCAAGUCUGGUGCCAGCAGCCGCGGUAAUUCCAGCUCCAAUAGCGUAUAUUAAAAUUGUUGCAGUUAAAAAGCUCGUAGUUGAAUUUCUGCCGCCCCGCCUCUGCCCCUCGACGGGCGUUUGCGCCGCGGCUUUUUCGGAUUAUGCUUGCAUUUUCCGAGUGUUACUUUGAGAAAAUUAGAGUGCUCAAAGCAGGCUUUUGCCUUGAAUAGUUUAGCAUGGAAUAAUAGAGUAGGACUUUGGUUCUAUUUUGUUGGUUUUAGGUACCAAAGUAAUGGUUAAUAGGAACAGUUGGGGGCAUUCGUAUUUAACUGUCAGAGGUGAAAUUCUUAG